RNAcentral lists this ribosomal RNA (535 nucleotides) under uncultured bacterium. RNAcentral describes it as "bacterial SSU rRNA". It matches the Rfam family "Bacterial small subunit ribosomal RNA", at positions 767 to 1308 of the family's 1533-position model. The record is from RNAcentral.
AGCAAAUAGAUACCCAGGUAGUCCAUGCCGUAAACGUUGGGAACUAGGUGUGGGUCUCAUUCCACGAGAUCCGUGCCGCAGCUAACGCAUUAAGUUCCCCGCCUGGGGAGUACGGCCGCAAGGCUAAAACUCAAAGGAAUUGACGGGGGCCCGCACAAGCGGCGGAGCAUGCGGAUUAAUUCGAUGCAACGCGAAGAACCUUACCAAGGCUUGACAUACACCGGAAUCACUCAGAGACGGGUGCGUCUUCGGACUGGUGUACAGGUGGUGCAUGGUUGUCGUCAGCUCGUGUCGUGAGAUGUUGGGUUAAGUCCCGCAACGAGCGCAACCCUCGUUCUAUGUUGCCAGCACGUCAUGGUGGGGACUCAUAGGAGACUGCCGGGGUCAACUCGGAGGAAGGUGGGGAUGACGUCAAAUCAUCAUGCCCCUUAUGUCUUGGGCUUCACGCAUGCUACAAUGGCCGGUACAAAGGGCUGCGAAACCGCGAGGUGGAGCGAAUCCCAAAAAACCGGUCUCAGUUCGGAUUGGGGUCUGC